RNAcentral lists this long non-coding RNA (262 nucleotides) under Musa acuminata (dwarf banana). Its description in RNAcentral is "long non-coding RNA (MACU_LNC007389)". The record is from RNAcentral. Lineage: Eukaryota; Viridiplantae; Streptophyta; Magnoliopsida; Zingiberales; Musaceae.
GCACAUUAACAUUCCAAGCAGAUCUGAUAACAUCAAGAAAUUGAGGAUGAGUACUCCACAUGUUAAAGAAUCUAAACGGUUUCUUGCCUCUUGGUGUCGCUUUGUCUGCAUGUAUAUACAUUAAAGAAUGGUCAGAAAACAAAGGAGCACCAUACUCAAGAAGUGAAUCUGGGUAAACUAUUAACCAUUCAUGAUUAAUCAAACACCUAUCAAGUCGAGCCAUUAUUUUUCUGUUAGCAGCACCUUGAUUACUCCAGGAGAG